RNAcentral lists this small nuclear RNA (323 nucleotides) under Mus caroli (Ryukyu mouse). RNAcentral's name for it is "sRNA (MGP_CAROLIEiJ_G0008824.1)". It matches the Rfam family "7SK RNA". From Rfam's summary of the family: 7SK was discovered as an abundant small nuclear RNA in the mid-70s but a possible function has only recently been suggested. The record is from RNAcentral. Lineage: Eukaryota; Metazoa; Chordata; Mammalia; Rodentia; Muridae.
GGUGUGGGCUGCAGCUAAGACUGUCACCCCACUGACCACCAGGUUGAUGAAGCUGCUCUGACUAACUAGGCUGGUAUCCCUUUCCACCUUGACUGUUCCACAUCAUGUGAGUGCUGACUGAAGCUGCUCACUUGGUCAACUGUGUGUACUUGUUGAAGAGGUAGACUUUCCCCAAAUAGAGGAGUACUGGUCUCCCAUUGAGGGGAUACUAGUAGCUGCACUCCCCUGCUAGAACCUCCAAAUCUCAAGACUCUUUUAUUAAGAGACCCUUGAAAUCUAGUCACCUGUAGUUAUGAGAGGGAACCACCCAUCAUCAUGUUGCU